GGCCCCGUAGCUCAGGGGAUAGAGCACAGGUUUCCUAAACCUGGUGUCCGCGGUUCAAAUCCGCGCGGGGUCACCA
Molecule: transfer RNA, 76 nt
Filed under: Atopobium sp.
Lineage: Bacteria; Bacillati; Actinomycetota; Coriobacteriia; Coriobacteriales; Atopobiaceae
Description: tRNA-Arg
Rfam family: tRNA
About the family: Transfer RNA (tRNA) molecules are approximately 80 nucleotides in length. Their secondary structure includes four short double-helical elements and three loops (D, anti-codon, and T loops).
Source: RNAcentral